RNAcentral lists this ribosomal RNA (613 nucleotides) under uncultured Gammaproteobacteria bacterium. RNAcentral describes it as "partial 16S ribosomal RNA". Lineage: Bacteria; Pseudomonadati; Pseudomonadota; Gammaproteobacteria. The record is from RNAcentral.
CCCAUAUGGUCGACCUGCAGGCGGCCGCGAAUUCACUAGUGAUUCGUAUUACCGCGGCUGCUGGCACAGAGUUAGCCGGUGCUUAUUCUGUCGGUAACGUCAAAACAGCAAGGUAUUCGCUUACUGCCCUUCCUCCCAACUUAAAGUGCUUUACAAUCCGAAGACCUUCUUCACACACGCGGCAUGGCUGGAUCAGGCUUUCGCCCAUUGUCCAAUAUUCCCCACUGCUGCCUCCCGUAGGAGUCUGGACCGUGUCUCAGUUCCAGUGUGACUGAUCAUCCUCUCAGACCAGUUACGGAUCGUCGCCUUGGUGAGCCAUUACCUCACCAACUAGCUAAUCCGACCUAGGCUCAUCUGAUAGCGCAAGGCCCGAAGGUCCCCUGCUUUCUCCCGUAGGACGUAUGCGGUAUUAGCGUUCCUUUCGAAACGUUGUCCCCCACUACCAGGCAGAUUCCUAGGCAUUACUCACCCGUCCGCCGCUGAAUCGAAGAGCAAGCUCUUCUCAUCCGCUCGACUUGCAUGUGUUAGGCCUGCCGCCAGCGCUCAAUCUGAGCCAUGAUCAAACUCUAAUCGAAUUCCCGCGGCCGCCAUGGCGCCCGGGAGCAUGCGACGU